CCUACGGGUGGCAGCAGUGAGGAAUAUUGGUCAAUGGCCGAGAGGCUGAACCAGCCAAGUCGCGUGAGGGAAGACGGCCCUACGGGUUGUAAACCUCUUUUGUCGAGGAGCAAAGCGAGUCACGUGUGACUCAUUGAGAGUACCCGAAGAAAAAGCAUCGGCAAACCCCGUGCCAGCAGCCGCGGUAAUACGGAGGAUGCGAGGGUUAUCCGGUUUUAUUGGGUUUAAAGGGUGCGCAGGCGGUGGUGCAAGUCAGCGGUCAAAUUCCGGGGCUCAACCCCGUAGUGCCGUUGAAACUGCAUGCCUUGAGUGCGCAAGAGGUAUGCGGAAUGCGUGGUGUAGCGGUGAAAUGCAUAGAUAUCACGCAGAACUCCAGUUGCGAAGGCAGCAUUCCGGCGCGCAACUGACGCUGAUGCACGAAAGCGUGGGUAUCGAACAGGAUUAGAUACCCGAGUAGUC
Molecule: ribosomal RNA, 459 nt
Filed under: uncultured bacterium
Lineage: Bacteria
Description: partial 16S ribosomal RNA
Rfam family: Bacterial small subunit ribosomal RNA
Source: RNAcentral